Molecule: non-coding RNA, 9522 nt
Organism: Callithrix jacchus (white-tufted-ear marmoset)
Lineage: Eukaryota; Metazoa; Chordata; Mammalia; Primates; Cebidae
Source: RefSeq, a predicted model, not a curated record
AGCACGGGGUUCUCUGCGUCAGGAAGCGCGGGUCGGAGCCGUAACUGCCCCAGCCGCGGGGCGAACGCGCCAAGGCCCGCUCCCAAGUCGGCUUCCUCCCCGGGGCCACUUUGCCCCGGGUCUCCCCGUUCUCCAGGUCCUCCGAACUGCAGAGUCGGAGGCCGUGGACGGCAGGCUCUGCCUCAGCCGAGGGACAGCUGAACCGCCCCUCUGCUUCCCGCAACUGCCCCGACCCCCGCCCCCCCGUCCCAGCCCUUGCUUUUUUUUUCAUUAGUCAUUUAUUCAAACAAUAAUUACGAGGCAUGGACCCAGGGACAAACACCGUGCUAAGUGCCGGGAACACACAGACACAGCUUCAGGAAUGAACUGGGAAGGUGCUUCUCAAGAUUCACCAGGCUAACUGGUCUUGUGGCCUCCAAAUCUUCCACCUCCCUGCUGUUGAGGCUGUCAUUAAGCAAGCAACAAACCAGUGCUGGUCUGACCAUGCGUCCCCUGCAGGAUCUGCCACUCCUGAGAUAGCAAGGCCCACCCCUUCUUCUCCUCCUCCUCCUCCUCCUUCUACGCCUACUCAAUGUGGCAAUGAUGAAGAUGAAGACCUUGAUGAUAACCCACUCCCACUAAUGAACAGGAAAUAUAUUUUCUCUUCCUUAUGAUUUUCUCCAGCUUACUUUAUUGCAAGAAUACAGUAUAAAAUACAUUUAGCAGACAACAUAUGUGUCAAUCAACUGUUGGCGUUACUGUAUUGCUAAGGCCUCGGGUCAACAGUAGUCACUAGUAGUUAAGUUUCUGGGGAGUUAGAAGUUAUAUGGAUUUCAACUGCAUGGGGUAUUCAAGAGUCAACUGUACAUGCUGACAGGUACUGACCGCCAGGUAAGAGGGGAGCGAAUACCCAGGCACAUCCCUAAGACACUGAACAACAGCCCAAAGAACGCCCACCAACCAAACACCCUUACAUGGACAGGGGCUCCGAUGUGGCACAGACCCCAUCUGCCUUGGCCAAGCCACCCCUUUGAGCCUCACCUUCUUAUUUCCUAAGAGUUACAUACCUAUACUACAAGGUUAUCAUGAGGACGAACUGUGAAGCUGGAUACGAACACAUUUUAUAAAGCUCUAAACAAAUGCGGGUUAUUAUUUACAUCAUGAAAAUUUUCUCCAAAUGCCACUAUUUUCAUUUAAAAACAAAAAUAAAACAUCCUCCUCAAAUUUCUCCAUAAAAGCAGUCUUCCUUCUCUAAACUCCCAUGAUUUUUUUUUUUUUUUUUUUUGAGAUGUCGUCUCACUCUGAAGCCCAGGCUGGAGUGCAGUGGCACGAUCUCAGCUCACUAUAACCUCUGCCUCCCUGGUUCACACAAUUCUCUUGACUCAGCCUCCUGAAUAGCUAGGACUACAGGCGCACGCCAAUAUGCCUGGCUGAUUUUUGUAUUUUUAGUAGAGAUGGGGUUUCACCAUGUUGGCCAGGCUGGUCUUGAACUCCUGACCUCAAGUGAUCUGCCUACCUCAGCCUCCCAAAGUGAUGGGAUUAUAGGCGUGAGCCACUGUGCCGGGCCCCAUGAGUUUGUUUUUAAUCUGUGUCCUGACAUAUCACUUUUUGCUGAAUUAAUUAUAGAUGAUUAGAAUGUGAACGGACGGAAGACGGGACUUAUUCUGAUUAACUGUAUAAACGUGCACUUCCAAGCAGGUGCCUGACAGAGGUUAUGAAUGCUUCAGCUGGUGAGUAAAAAGAACUAAAAGAACUCUCAUGCUGCAGAAGAUGAGAGUCACUCUCCUGCUCUAAAAGCCAGAAACAAAACUAUAAGAUGAAGGUUACAGGGAGGCCUAGUUUGCCUCUACAUAAGGAACUGCUAACUAUAGUCUUCUCAUGCUGGAAAGGGCUGCCCUGCAAAUUCAGAUGAUGAGUGGGGCCAUGACUUCUGGAAGGAGUACACAGCUCCUGUAUCAGUGCAGGAUUCAGUCCUUGAAUGCUAGGCCAUCACAGAUAUCACCUUCUUUACUGCCACACAGCCUGGUUGGCAGACAUUCAGACCCUUUCUACAGCGAACCUAAGAUUCCAAUUUAACCUGGCCAGACUGAGCUACUGGGUCACAAGCUUGAAAUCUAAAGUCCUGUUGUUCUGGGGUCCACUGCAUCCCACAAAAACAUCAGUGGAAAAGCCAAAGCUGGCAGGCUGGGUGCAGAACAGACAAGGGAGGUCAGAGGAUCUGCCAUUCACAAGGCUAUUUCAGAACUAUUAGAUUACAUGGGCACUCUUCUUGGAUAAUCUGCCCAGCACAAACUUACAGCUAAAAUGAAUUUCUGUGCUCAUUUAGGCAGCACAUAUACUAAAACUGGAAUAAUAACAGGAAGAUGAGCAUGGUACCUGCCCAUGGAUGACACAUAAACUAGUCAAGAGUUCUAUUAUUUUUGUCCCAUGGCAUUGUAGGGUAGCCACGGCUAACAGUAAUACAUUAUAUAGUCUCAGAUAGCAAGGAAGGGGACACUGAAUGUUCCUAACACACAGAAAUGAAAAAUGUUUGAGAUGAUGAUAUGCUAAUUAUCCUGAUCUGAUCUUACACAUUAUAUGUAUCAAAACACCACCCACAUGCAGUGGUUCACACCUGUAAUCCUAGCAUGUUGGGAGGCCAAGGUGGGCGGAUUGCUUGAGCUCAGGAGUUAGAGACCAGCCUGGGCAACAAGGUAAAAACUCAUCUCUACAAAAAAAUAUAUAAAAAUUAGCCAGGCAUGGUGGUACACACAGAGGUGGGAAGAUGGCUUAAGCCUGGAAGGCAGAGGCUACAGUGAGCCCAGACAGAGCCACUGCACUCCAGCCUGGGUAAAAGAGCCAGACUUCAAAGAACAUGUUUUUAACAAUCUUGAAAAAAUGAAAAAAUAAGAGAAGGAAAGUUUUAAAAACUUCCAUCAUGGUAAAAGAUAUGGUCCACCUGGAGUGGACUCUAAGCCCGUAAGGACUCAAGUUAAGCAAAAAAUAUUCAAAAAUAGUGUUCAGGCCGUAUCAAUUCCAGUAAAGGUGAUAAUAUGAUGCAAAUGUGGAAAGCUAUCUAAGCCUCCUUUGCAAAUAUCCCAGCUGAAUACCUGCAGCCAAGACUCAGCAAUACUUGGGCUCUCAAAUUCGAAGAAGUCAAGAAGACUGGACCUGAACGUGGUCUAAUCAACGGCACCUUAUAAACUAACGGCAACAGAAUGUGCUAUGCCCUCACUCUCUGUCUACAAAGCACCACCAUUUCUGUGAAGGCAAUCAUUUUACCAAUUCACUAUAAAUUCACUCAAGUUCAACUAGUUAAGCCACUUGACAUUAAAAUGCAGUAGGGGUGAAAAGUCACAACGGUGCUUCCACACUGGGCUGCUGAGAGGUCCCAGACUCUGAUCAAAGUUCCAUAUUAAUAAUAACUGAUGUCCUGGAGGUUCCUCUACCCCUUCCCCCGUUUCAUGCGUUUAUCACCUCUGUUUCUUCCCUGAGAGUAGAUGAUCACUACAAAGGGAGGCCAUGGGAUGGUUGCAGUCGAAAUCAUUUAGAUCAUAAGAAAUGACAAAAACAGCAAAGUUCUUCAGGGUCACCAGUGUGGGUACACCAAUAUUAACAAACGUGAGUGAUUACAAAUGUGUUUAACAUGGAAGUGUUCUCAUAGGGUACUUAUUCAGGGUCACCUCAAAAAUAUUAGCAGGUUCCUUCUUCUAUCACACAGAUUAAAAAUAAGGCUUAAAAAUUCUGUCCCAGAGGAUAGGGAAUCUACCCAGCGAAGAUCUUAGGUUUUGUUUUAAAGCAGGUGUCAAAAAGGAAUUUUUUGAAGUUUCUUUUGUUUGUAAAUUCUAGGGAUUUUCACAAAGUUCUUAUUGAUCAGACUUGUAGGGAAGACCCAGGAUGAGUAAAGCUGGGGCUGGAGUGGGGGAGAGGACUCACAGAAAAGGACAGGCCUGUGGAGACAGAAGAGACAGAGAGCAGAAACUGUGUCAAGGGUCAGACAGGUCUGAGCUUCUGCCUUGACUGGGCUGCUCAGUGGCUCUGGCGAGCUUUCCUGUUCCUACACCUGCCUCUUUGCUUAUAAAAUAGGGACAAUGCCCAGCUCUGGAAGAAUGAUGAGGGUUAGGAAGCCUCUGUCAGGGCCCUCGGCCCACCACUGGCAUUUGGAGGUGCCAAUCAACACUGUCUUAGGAGGAAGCCCUGCAUUUCUGGCCUCUAUUCUGACUUCUCGGUACACAAAUUAAAAUAUCAGUGACAGCCUAGACCUGGUAUUAGAGGUUUCUUCUAAUUUGAUUAAUUGUGUCUCAGAUUAUUCUAGGAAGGUGUAGUUCCAGACACCUCCUUAUAUAAGACCAGAAAGUAAGAAAAGUCUCACAGUGCUCAGCACAUAGCAGGCAUUGCCAUACAUGGUCCCUUUUUUCCUUUCUUGGUUAGGAUGCCAGCCCCAAGUCCCAUCAAUUGGGACUCCAUGGUAAGUGUUUGCCCUUUAAGUCUGUUUUCCGUGCCCCUAUGGGUGCCUCUACUCCCAGGCAAACACCUGGGUCACAGGUAAAGUGCAAAGCUGGGGACAAUGUGCAUCACUUUGCUGGACAUCAGUUCCCAAACUGAUUGACAAAAGCAAAAGUUUUCCUAAAGGGGCCAAGGACCACAGUUAGGUAAAGAGAAAAGGAGGAGGAGGAAGGCCACGGUUUAGCAGGAGGGCUUCCAGUGAGAAGGGUCGGCGAGGAAGACAAAGCAGAAGCAUCACCAGUCCCCAGGGCAGGCUGGAGGUGCCGGCAUCUGACCUGGGAACUCGCAGCUGCCUCAGGUGGACACCCCAGUGUACUCUACGGGCACCCUCCCCCAGACUCGAAGGCAGGGACACACACCACCAAGAAGAUGCCGGGCAGAACCCUAAAGACAGAGAAAAAGCAUUUCAUUUCUUUCUUUCCUUUUUUUUUUAAAAGACAGAGUCUCACUCUGUCGCCCAAGCUGGAGUGCAAUGGUGCAAUCUCGGCUCACUGCAACCUCCGCCUCUCGGGUUCAAGCAAUUCUUGUGCCUCAGCCUCCCAAAAAGCUGGAACUACAGGAACAUGCCACCAUGCCUGGCUAAUUUUUGUAUUUUUUGGUAGAGACAGGGAUUCACCCUGUUGGUCAGGCUGAUCUCGAACUCCUGACCUCAGGUGAUCCGCCCACCUCGGCCUCCCAAAGUGCUGGGAUUACAGGCGUGAGCCACUGUACUCGGCCCAUUUCAUUUCUUCAGUCCUCCAAAAGCCACUGGAACUAAAGAUAGACAAAAUAGAAAAAAUGAAGAGCACUAAAUUCUCAGAAGGUGAAGCCUCCAUGUGAUCUAUAACAUGUACAAAACAAGAACACAGUUAAAAGCGCAGAUUUUUUGAUUGACAUAUCUACAGUUUUCAUUUAUGGAAAUGAUGAAAUGAGAUACAUAUUUAGAAUGAGUAAUUUACAAAAUUGGAAACCUUAAGUAGGACACAAUGAAGACAGUGCUUACACAUUUAACACAAAUUACGAUCAAGGUCAGCUGUCAGGAACAGGCAAGGACACGGGUCAGGGUGUUUCACCAAGACAGCCAGCCGCCCUACCAGACUUUAUAAAGGCACCAGCAACUCUCCAGAGACCAGGCAAGCCUGGACUGAUGUCCUAAGUCCUAGUUUUUUCAGUUUUCAUAUCACUAGAAGUUGAAUUGGUAAGGAUAACAAUAAAAAGAAAAUAGAGCACAACCAGCUCCUCACAGCUUGGGGGAAGAAAGCAAAUAGGCUUAUCACUUCCUCUAAGAACAAGUAUCUUUCAGUCUCAACACAGAGUAAAAGUAAGAGCUGGAGCAAUCUCCUUUAGGGAGCUGAGGAGACUGCCAGCAGGCUCGCAGGCUGGCCUAACAAGCACGCAGUCCUCAGCCUGCAGGGUCAUGCCCCGUGAAAUACCAGCUCAAGAGGGGAGAUUUUAAACAAGAUUGCUCUGCCCUUAAAACUAGACUAUUUCUUUGUCCCCAAAUUAAGAUCAGAAACAACUUUAAAGACUAGGAUAGUAGUCCGCUGAGCCCAUGGCUAGGAGCACAGGCUCUGGGUCUAGCAGCUCUCAGCAGUUUCGGCCCCCUUCUCAUGCAGUGUCUUCCAUUUGCAGCCACGGGUUUCCUAUGAUGUGUAAGAGAGCCACUCCCACAGAAUGGUUCCAUGGGCACACUGUGAAGAAUGCCGCUUACACUGGAAAAGUCCACCAGCCAACCCAGAUGAACAACCCGAAAACAGACAUCAUUCUUUCCCUUCUAUGCCCCAUAAUAUAUGCCCAGUUCCCAUGACCAUAGAAUGCAAAAAUUCAAUCUAGAUUCACUACUCAUCACCCUCAACACCUCCAGCCUACGAAACUGGCCACCUCGCACCCUCACCAUCAUCUCUGACUCUAUUCCAUCCCUAGCUCCAACCCCUCUGUCAGCAGAUGCAAUGUUACCAUGAAGUUGGCUGAGAACAAAAAAUGCCACAUAUGGAACAGGUUUGCUUCUAGGGAAACAUUUAAGUGAAAACGAGGUCAGGAAAAUGGCAAGUAGGAGGCAGUGGCCACGGCCACUCUUUGAACUCUGAGGCCAAGUGAACUUUAUAAAUGAUCUGCUGUGUUAUCAAUUUUAGCAAUUUUUUAAGUACCUCCAUGCAUUUAACUUUACAGCAUAUACUGCAUAAGACACAUUCUCAAAUUAUACAUGAUGAGGAAAUCAGGUCUCUUUUACUUGAAGAGCCAUCUAAAAUAAUUUUUGUAUCAAAUAAAUUAUAUAGUAAUAUAUAAUCUAUCAAAUAAAAUAAAUAUCCAUGAGUCCAUACUGAUAUGCACAGCUGAAUAAAUAAUUAAUGUGGAAGAAGGGACAGCUCUUCCUUUUAGUAAAACUCCAAUGAAUACAUGCAGAAGAAAUAACAGAGACAGAAAAUCACCACUUGGCAAACACUACCAUAGUAACUACUACAGACAAAAAUCAUGAUAGAUACAAAAACCAGUGGAUGAAAAGAUGGGGAGAAACAGGACAUUUGCAUAGUCUCAAAGAAUCUUUCUAUAAGGUAUUCAUUCAUUAUAACAGAAAAAUAGUAACUUCUGAUGGAAAAACCAAAAAGACAUAUUGAUUCAUGUCUUCCCUGAGAAGGACACAACUUCACUUCCAUGGUAUUGUUGCCCAAAAUGCAUAAUCUCAGUCUAAACAUGAUAAAAUAUCAAACAAAUGUAUACUGAGGGACUUCUACAAAGUAACCGCCAGGCCAGCAGUAUUCUACAAAAGUCUCAGCGUCAUGAAAGACAAGGAGAGACCAAGGAACCAUCCCAGGCUGAACGUGAUUGGAGAAGAUCUGACAACUAAAUGCAAUAUGGGCAGGAAGAAAGGGCAUUAGUGCUAGGACAACAGGUGAAAUUCAAACAAGGUCUGCAGAUUGUUAACAGUACCGUACAAGGUUGAGUUCCUGGUUUAGAUCAUUAUACUGUAGGCUGUGUAAGAUGUUACCUUUAAGUGAAGUUAGGUGAAGUGUAUACAGGAGUUCUGUGAAUGAAUUUUGCAACUUUUUUGUAAGUCUACAAUUAUUCAAAAAUAAAAAGUUAAAAAAAAAAAAAAAAACGACUGCAUAUCCCCAGAAAUACUAGUCCCUAGCCCUGGUGUGACACCUCACACUUAAGAGGAAUCAACAGAAUGGAAGAAGCUGAAUAGGGAGAGAAGCCCCAUGCCAACUAAGAGUGACAAUUUGGAAUACAAUCUGUGCGUAAACUGGGACACUCCUGUACCCAACCUCUGCCACCACAGAAGUCAAAGUUAUAUAAAGCAUAUGCGUAUUUUCCCUUACAGUGCUGAAGGACACGUAGCUAUAUACAGUGUAUGCUACUGCGUGUCUAAACUCUUUCUGUAAAUGUCAGGGCCUUGGGAUCUUUAAGUUGAUGCCCAGAGGUUUUCAUUUUAACUUGGUACACAUUCCUGAAGGCCUUAUGUAUCACCAGAUUUCUAAAUGUAGAUGAGAGCUUUAUGAAAACAUAGGCUAAAUACAUCUCUGGAAAUUCACAUCUUGUGCUAUUCUUGUGUAGCUCUAUCAGAGACAAGUAGAACAGCGGGAAAUGUUUGUAUUUAGCCACAACUGCCACAGGAUGCCAAGAACCAAAAGUGACAUCUUCCUCUGCCUCUUGGCGGGCCCUAUUUUCAGAGACAGGCUGCAGCAACAGUAAGUUGUGAACAUGGCUGCUUGCCUCUUCUGCCACUCAGCCCUGGGGCUAGGUAGGAGUUGCCUAUUCGAGGAAGAUGGCCAACUUGAAAUUGCCUUACUCCAUCCUGAAGCAUAAGGCAGGAAAAGGGGGGAGGCUGCUGCAAUGGAUGCUUGCCUUGAAACAAAAUUCAUGGCAUUUGAUGCACAAAUGAGUCUCUCCCUCUCCAUACCUCCCCCUGCAUCUCUCAAAUGGUUGGAUCAACACAAAAGAAGAAAUCCAAGUAAGGUGUGACAAAUCACUUAAGUGACGAGAACAACUGAAAAAUAGUAGUAAUCAAUUUAAUAGAUAUGCCUCUGUUCUGUUAAACCCUGUAUGCUUCCUUUUACUUAAAAAGCAUUACAUUCAAUCUCAACAACAUAGAAAAAUCUACAUGUCUCUAAGAUAAGCUAAUCUUCAGACAAGCUGGCACCCCACGUCACAGCACCAGGCCCAUUACAUGGCACUGAUUACCAAUUAAACAAGCAGUUCAUUCACAGGGUCUGUCAAUUUCUUUUUAACUGACAUAAGUGAAAAACAUCUGAGCUAAUCAUUCAACUUUGUUCAGGUAAGUAACAUCUGAUAGGCUAUGCUCCACUUUCACACAAUUAUACUACUUCAAAGUUGGAUUUAAGCCAAACCCUACUUUUCCACUGAUUUCUAUCACAAAACUGGUCAUCCAUUUCCAUGCAAAAGUCUGAACUUAGAGCUGAACUUUGGUAUGUUCUGGUCUGCUAGGAUUUUUAUAGGGUUAAAGUUGCAACAGUUUUAAAUGCCAAAUCCAGCUUUCCAUCAUGAGCCCUCUCUUCUUCCCUGGCCUCUGUUUCACAAACUGACAUAAAUUUUAGCCCCAUUUCAUACAAGCCUCUUCUGGCCUUUGGCUCAGCCACAAUUUCUAAACUUAGCUUCUGGAGUUUGGACAUUGACAUUCGUCAAUCAUCAAGUUGCAGUAUGAUGUUUCACCAGCAGGUGCUUCAUCUUUUUUCUUUUCCUAUUUUUUUUUUUUUGAGACAGGGUCUCACUCUGUCACUUAGGCUAGAGGGCAGUGGCAUGAUCAUGGCUCAAUGCAGCCUCAACUUCCUAUGUUCAAGUGAUACUCCUGCCUCAGCCUCCCAAGUAGCCGGGACUAUAAGCGUGUGCCACCAUGCCUAGCUAGUUUUUGCAUUUUUAGUAGAGAUGGGAUUUUGCCAUGUUGCCCAGGCUGGUCUUGAACUCCGCGGUUCAAGUCAUCCUCCCAUCUCAGACUCCCAAAGUGCUGGGAUUAUUAUAGGCAUCAGGUGCUGUAUCUCAAUACAAGGAAUGCUCUCAAAAUUCCUGGAGCUUGAGGCUUCUGGCUACCCACACUAUCACCUGUUGAACACCUGAAGGAUA